Molecule: ribosomal RNA, 253 nt
Filed under: uncultured bacterium
Lineage: Bacteria
Description: partial 16S ribosomal RNA
Rfam family: Bacterial small subunit ribosomal RNA
Source: RNAcentral
GACGAACUGUCCUAACGUUGUUCGGAAUCACUGGGCGUAAAGCGCACGUAGGCGGACUAUUAAGUCAGGGGUGAAAUCCCGGGGCUCAACCCCGGAACUGCCUUUGAUACUGGUAGUCUCGAGUCCGGAAGAGGUGAGUGGAAUUCCGAGUGUAGAGGUGAAAUUCGUAGAUAUUCGGAGGAACACCAGUGGCGAAGGCGGCUCACUGGUCCGGUACUGACGCUGAGGUGCGAAAGCGUGGGGAGCAAACAGG